RNAcentral lists this small nucleolar RNA (154 nucleotides) under Myotis lucifugus (little brown bat). Lineage: Eukaryota; Metazoa; Chordata; Mammalia; Chiroptera; Vespertilionidae. The record is from RNAcentral.
CAUGAAGACCAUUAUCCAUAUUGCAGCAGCAGAACAAUUUUUUCUCAAAACUGAUCAUGUCUCAUUGUUGGAAACGCCUCAUAGAAUAAAUAUGUUGUUUCCUUUAUUCACAGAACUGUGUGUUAGAUCUGUGGGAAGGAAUUACAAGACAGCU